UACAGAGGUCCCAAGCGUUGUUCGGAUUCAUUGGGCGUAAAGGGUGCGUAGGUGGCGCCGUAAGUCGGGCGUGAAAUUUCGGAGCUUAACUCCGAAACUGCAUUUGAUACUGGCGUGCUUGAGGACUGGAGAGGAGACUGGAAUUCAUGGUGUAGCAGUGAAAUGCGUAGAGAUCAUGAGGAAGACCAGUGGCGAAGGCGGGUCUCUGGACAGUUCCUGACACUGAGACACGAAGGCCAGGGGAGCAAACGGG
This 253-nucleotide ribosomal RNA is filed under the name uncultured bacterium. RNAcentral's name for it is "partial 16S ribosomal RNA". It matches the Rfam family "Bacterial small subunit ribosomal RNA", at positions 524 to 776 of the family's 1533-position model. The record is from RNAcentral.